This 254-nucleotide ribosomal RNA is filed under the name uncultured bacterium. RNAcentral's name for it is "partial 16S ribosomal RNA". It matches the Rfam family "Bacterial small subunit ribosomal RNA", at positions 524 to 776 of the family's 1533-position model. The record is from RNAcentral.
UACGUAGGGGGCAAGCGUUGUCCGGAUUUAUUGGGCGUAAAGAGCUCGUAGGCGGUUUGGUAAGUCAGGUGUGAAAUCUCCACGCUCAACGUGGAGGGGCCACCUGAUACUGCCAUGACUGGAGUCCGGUAGAGGAGUGUGGAAUUCCCGGUGUAGCGGUGAAAUGCGCAGAUAUCGGAAGGAACAUCAGUGGCGAAAGCGACUUCCUGGACCAGUACCGACGUUCAGGCACGAAAGCGUGGGGAGCAAACAGG